GAAGCCAGCGAGGAUGGCUGCGCGCGCGUAUGGGUGCAAGCGCGCGGCGACCCGUCUGUCUCCUUCUUUUUUUCUUUUUUAAAUGUAACCUGGUUUAUUGGGCUCUCGGCGUAUUCUUGCGUUCCUUCUGCACUGGGACAAGACACCACUGCACUAUUGGACUACGGCAUGCUGGUGCCGUCCGGUGGAGCUUCAUACAGGAACUACUGCCUUACCUGCUGGUGUCACAACGUUGGAUGAACGCACAAAAAGCGCGGAACGAGCUUUUAUAUAGAGCAAAAUAAAUAUUUCCUCAUUGCACAAAA
This is a long non-coding RNA of Dermacentor silvarum, 305 nucleotides long. RefSeq lists it as uncharacterized. The record is from RefSeq and is a predicted model, not a curated record. NCBI's taxonomy places the organism in Eukaryota, Metazoa, Arthropoda, Arachnida, Ixodida, Ixodidae. The transcript has 2 exons.